CGCUCCAUGGCCAAACUGGUCAAGGCAUCGCCGGUUAGAGGCAAAGAUGCGGGUUUGAGUCCCACUGGAACGG
RNAcentral lists this transfer RNA (73 nucleotides) under Operophtera brumata (winter moth). It matches the Rfam family "tRNA". From Rfam's summary of the family: Transfer RNA (tRNA) molecules are approximately 80 nucleotides in length. Their secondary structure includes four short double-helical elements and three loops (D, anti-codon, and T loops). Further hydrogen bonds mediate the characteristic L-shaped molecular structure. tRNAs have two regions of fundamental functional importance: the anti-codon, which is responsible for specific mRNA codon recognition, and the 3' end, to which the tRNAs corresponding amino acid is attached (by aminoacyl-tRNA synthetases). tRNAs cope with the degeneracy of the genetic code in two manners: having more than one tRNA (with a specific anti-codon) for a particular amino acid; and 'wobble' base-pairing, i.e. permitting non-standard base-pairing at the 3rd anti-codon position. The record is from Rfam by way of RNAcentral. Lineage: Eukaryota; Metazoa; Arthropoda; Insecta; Lepidoptera; Geometridae.